RNAcentral lists this ribosomal RNA (497 nucleotides) under Metarhizium sp. RNAcentral describes it as "eukaryotic LSU rRNA". The stretch from base 105 to 258 matches the Rfam family "5.8S ribosomal RNA". The record is from RNAcentral. Lineage: Eukaryota; Fungi; Ascomycota; Sordariomycetes; Hypocreales; Clavicipitaceae.
UACCUUCAAUUGUUGCUUCGGCGGGACUUCGCGCCCGCCGGGGACCCAAACCUUCUGAAUUUUUUAAUAAGUAUCUUCUGAGUGGUUAAAAAAAAAUGAAUCAAAACUUUCAACAACGGAUCUCUUGGUUCUGGCAUCGAUGAAGAACGCAGCGAAAUGCGAUAAGUAAUGUGAAUUGCAGAAUUCAGUGAAUCAUCGAAUCUUUGAACGCACAUUGCGCCCGUCAGUAUUCUGGCGGGCAUGCCUGUUCGAGCGUCAUUACGCCCCUCAAGUCCCCUGUGGACUUGGUGUUGGGGAUCGGCGAGGCUGGUUUUCCAGCACAGCCGUCCCUUAAAUUAAUUGGCGGUCUCGCCGUGGCCCUCCUCUGCGCAGUAGUAAAACACUCGCAACAGGAGCCCGGCGCGGUCCACUGCCGUAAAACCCCCCAACUUUUUAUAGUUGACCUCGAAUCAGGUAGGACUACCCGCUGAACUUAAGCAUAUGAAUGCGGGGAGAAG